This 481-nucleotide ribosomal RNA is filed under the name Porphyra dioica. RNAcentral describes it as "SSU rRNA". It matches the Rfam family "Eukaryotic small subunit ribosomal RNA", at positions 512 to 1012 of the family's 1831-position model. The record is from RNAcentral. Lineage: Eukaryota; Rhodophyta; Bangiophyceae; Bangiales; Bangiaceae.
GGAGGGUGACGUAACAUGCGUCGCUCGGUAGAAAUGGCCAGCAGCCGCGGUAAUUCCAGCUCCAAUAGCGUAUAUUAAAGUUGUUGCAGUUAAAACGCUCGUAGUCGGAUUUCGAAGCGCGUUCACGGCGGCGGUUCUUGCCGUUUCUGUGGGGGUUUGCUUCUAUUUCUGGGACGCGGUGUGCGGGACUUGAUUGUCUCUGCGCAUCUGCGGGCCGGACGUUUACUGUGAAGAAAUUAGGGUGUUCAAAGCAGGCGUUUGCUAUGAAUACGUGAGCAUGGAAUAAUAGAAUAGGACUUGGGCUCUAUUUUGUUGGUUUCCGGUGACCAAGUAAUGAUUAAUAGGGACAGUUGGGGGCAUUCGUAUUUCAUUGUCAGAGGUGAAAUUCUUGGAUUGAUGGAAGACGAACAACUGCGAAAGCAUCUGCCAAGGAUGUUUUCAUUGAUCAAGAACGAAAGUUAGGGGAUCGAAGACGAUCAGA